RNAcentral lists this ribosomal RNA (490 nucleotides) under uncultured bacterium. Its description in RNAcentral is "partial 16S ribosomal RNA". It matches the Rfam family "Bacterial small subunit ribosomal RNA", at positions 30 to 507 of the family's 1533-position model. The record is from RNAcentral.
AUUGAACGCUGGCGGCAGGCCUAACACAUGCAAGUCGAGCGGCAGCGGAAAGUAGCUUGCUACUUUGCCGGCGAGCGGCGGACGGGUGAGUAAUGUCUGGGAAACUGCCUGAUGGAGGGGGAUAACUACUGGAAACGGUAGCUAAUACCGCAUAACGUCGCAAGACCAAAGAGGGGGACCUUCUGGCCUCUUGCCAUCAGAUGUGCCCAGAUGGGAUUAGCUAGUAGGUGGGGUAACGGCUCACCUAGGCGACGAUCCCUAGCUGGUCUGAGAGGAUGACCAGCCACACUGGAACUGAGACACGGUCCAGACUCCUACGGGAGGCAGCAGUGGGGAAUAUUGCACAAUGGGCGCAAGCCUGAUGCAGCCAUGCCGCGUGUAUGAAGAAGGCCUUCGGGUUGUAAAGUACUUUCAGCGGGGAGGAAGGUGUUGAGGUUAAUAACCUCAGCAAUUGACGUUACCCGAAGAAGAAGCACCGGCUAACUCCGUG